RNAcentral lists this ribosomal RNA (301 nucleotides) under uncultured bacterium. RNAcentral describes it as "partial 16S ribosomal RNA". It matches the Rfam family "Bacterial small subunit ribosomal RNA", at positions 509 to 807 of the family's 1533-position model. The record is from RNAcentral.
CAGCCGCCGCGGUAAUACGGAGGGGGCUAGCGUUGUUCGGAAUUACUGGGCGUAAAGCGCACGUAGGCGGCUUGGUAAGUUAGAGGUGAAAGCCCGGAGCUCAACUCCGGAAUUGCCUUUAAGACUGCCGAGCUAGCAGGUGAGAGAGGUAAGUGGAAUUCCGAGUGUAGAGGUGAAAUUCGUAGAUAUUCGGAAGAACACCAGUGGCGAAGGCGGCUUACUGGCUCAUACUGGACGCUGAGGUGCGAAAGCGUGGGGAGCAAACAGGAUUAGAUACCCGAGUAGUCCCUGUCUCUUAUAC